Molecule: non-coding RNA, 87 nt
Organism: Nemania sp. FL0031
Lineage: Eukaryota; Fungi; Ascomycota; Sordariomycetes; Xylariales; Xylariaceae
Source: the annotation of a GenBank genome assembly
CUCCUGAUAGCUCAGUUGGUAGAGCGAUGGACUGUAAUUGUCGUCUAUGAGAUCCACAGGUCGCGUGUUCGACUCACGCUCGGGAGA